Molecule: long non-coding RNA, 2575 nt
Filed under: Olea europaea subsp. europaea
Lineage: Eukaryota; Viridiplantae; Streptophyta; Magnoliopsida; Lamiales; Oleaceae
Source: RNAcentral
CCAAUUUCAUCGACACCACAAAGGUUGAGACAACUCCAAAAACCACCACUGUCGCCGCCGUACUCCGGUUGCUAUAGGUUGGAAAGUGAAGUCCUAUGAUGUGCCCACAAAGGAUUAACCACAAAGGUCAAAGUAAAGUAUAUCAAGAAGCUGAGAAGAGAGUCUCACAAAGAGAAGAGAAAAAUAGGCACACACCAUGGAGGCCGAGAGGAAGGUGGGAUUAUAUGCCAAGUAAAUGUCCAAAAUAGGUAAGUUAGGUUAGGGUUAAAUUGUGGACCAAAACAAGGCUCGACUCAAUUAAAGUGAGAUUCAAAAUAAUAAUAUAGCCUUCCAAGGAAAUGGGGCGAUCGUGAGCAACACUAUUUAAAAUAGGUUGCUUCGAACGGUCCAUAAAAAUGUGGAUUGUGUUGUCUCGAUAAUUGUGUCGAUGUACUAGUCAAUCAUAUGGCCAAGGCCGAUUGAUAAUAAAAACCAAGGUUACAUCAUCGCCCGAGGAGGUCGUUUGACAACAAAUUGCCUAACAUUCUUCAAUUUAAUCAGAUAUUUAUCCAUAGAUCUGUGAGUGAAAAAAUAUAAAUAUUUUUAAGUAUUUAUAAAUUAAGUAUAUUAUUGAAAUAUGUGCAAUUAUGUGUUCGAUUAUAUGAUUAUUAUGGAAAUCUCUUUUAUUAUGAUACAUGUGGAAUUUCAAGGAUUAUUUAUUGUACGUUUGUGACAUGGUAUAUGAGACAUGUGAUAUUGAGAUUUGUUUGGUAUGUGAGACGUGAUAUUGAGAUUGACCAGAAAAGUAUUCGUGAUUAUGUACUUCUUCUAGUUCCCAGAUGGGUUUUGGCCGUAUUCUAUCCUACACGGAGGGUCUUGACCGGAUAUUGGUCUCGACCAUGUACAUAUAGUUCACAGAGGGGCAUUGGCCGUGUUUUAGAAUUGAUUACCAGAGGUUUUUGAGACCGACUUUCGUUUACGGAGGGGGCCAAAGGCCCGUGGCGAAAGUACUUAGCCCUAGGGGCGGAUUACAGAUUUUAGUCAGAGGGUACAUUUUUUGUGGAUCAUAUGUGAUGUGAUGAAAUGAUGGUAUAGAUAUCAGCUGAUGACUAUAUCGUGAUUAAGAGAUGAUAUUUACAGUGUUUUGAGAAUGUCUCACUUUUUGUUUAUAAUUGUAUGAGGCUAUCAUAUGAAAUAUUAAAUGAAAUGAACUUGAUGUUUGAUAAAAAUGCUUAAAGGAGAAAGUAUGAUUAUUUUUGAACUAUUCCACUCACAAGGCUGUUAACUCAUAUUUUUCUAAAAUUAUUCUUCCAAGUAAUAUUGGUCCUUGAUAGCUUGAGGAGCUUGGUGAUUUCAGAGUUAGAGCCACACGACAUAUUGAAUUAUAUGAGUCAAUUCGAUAAACCACAAAGUAAAUUUUGGGCCCAUCGCAUUAUGAUUUUAUAAACAUUUGAUUUUGUUGCUUUUUUUUUUUUUUAAAUAACUCAUAGUCAGCUUUGGUGACAGAUUUGACAUCUAGUCAGCAUCUAUCAUCGGCGCACGUCACGUUUCGGGUCCACUAGUGUGAUUUGAGACGGGUCGUGUCAAAUAACUUGUCACUUCUCUUGAUAGAAAAAAAAAUAAAAAUAAAAAGAAACUGUAUUUUGGUCCUCUCACAUCUAUAUAGCUAUCAGAUUUUUUCCUCUCCUUUCUAUUCACGAAAUUGUUCUUUCCAUAUUACUGUGGCAUCGUUCCUUUCUUGAGUAACAUGAAAGAUCUUCCUUGUCGAUAAUAGAAGGUUUUAUCUGUCUAUUUUUCCUCUAUUUUGUUUUUUAUUGUUUGGUCUUUCCCUUUAACAUGUCAUCUAUCUAAUUCUUUGCUUAUAUAUUUGGCAGGUAAAGCUUAACAAUAUGUUGUACCACACAUCUAGAAUAAACUGCUUGGCUUGGUCACCUACUAACAACAUGGUAGCCACGGGAUCACUUGACACAUGCGUUAUUAUAUACGAAAUAAAAAAGCCAGCAUCAAGUCGAAUAACUGUCAAAGGAGCUCAUUUGGGUGGAGUCUAUGGGUUGGAAUUUACUGAUGAAUACAAUGUGGUGAGUUCGGGCGAGGAUGCUUUUGUACGUUUAUGGAGAAUAACGCCGCAAUAAUGUACAAGGUUCGUUACCCUUGAGUUAUUUGCAUUUGGCUUCCUUAAAGUUGAAAAAGAGACAAACAUUCAUGGAUGAAAAAUUUGGUUGCCUUGAGGUCUUGACAGUUUUUUAAGAGACUUGUCUUUUGCCAUCCUUUUAUAGUUUGCUAACGACGGACAUCAUUGCAGCCCAAAAACGUGCACAUAAGGUUUGCUUGAAGAUAAUCAUUAUGUCACAAUAUGUGUAAAUCCAUCGCAUCCUGCCAAUUUGCUGCAUUGUACGAGUUAAGAUAUUAACUUGGCACAUAACUUGUCUAGUUUUUUAUUUUUGUUUUUUGAUGUGUGUGCAGAACUUUGUACUUAUUCAUGUUUAUGUUUCAGCGUCCUUUCGAUUUUGGUUUUGUAAUUAGUUAAUGAGAAUGAUGCAAGCGUGUUACUAUUAUUGUUCAUGAGUUGCUUUGUUUUUAAUAAUAUGCAAGAGGC